CCCCGGGUAGCUCAAUUGGCAGAGCGGCCGACUAAUUACCGGCAGGUUGGGGGUUCGAAUCCCCUCCCGGGGA
This is a transfer RNA of 73 nucleotides. It matches the Rfam family "tRNA". Rfam says of the family: Transfer RNA (tRNA) molecules are approximately 80 nucleotides in length. Their secondary structure includes four short double-helical elements and three loops (D, anti-codon, and T loops). Further hydrogen bonds mediate the characteristic L-shaped molecular structure. tRNAs have two regions of fundamental functional importance: the anti-codon, which is responsible for specific mRNA codon recognition, and the 3' end, to which the tRNAs corresponding amino acid is attached (by aminoacyl-tRNA synthetases). tRNAs cope with the degeneracy of the genetic code in two manners: having more than one tRNA (with a specific anti-codon) for a particular amino acid; and 'wobble' base-pairing, i.e. permitting non-standard base-pairing at the 3rd anti-codon position.